Molecule: small nucleolar RNA, 93 nt
Organism: Nannospalax galili (Upper Galilee mountains blind mole rat)
Lineage: Eukaryota; Metazoa; Chordata; Mammalia; Rodentia; Spalacidae
Source: Ensembl
UUUGUAGGAGUACUGCGGAAAGAAAAACCAUGUUGAUUGUUUCUGAUUUUUUCUUUGUAGGGGUAAAAUCAUGACAACUUGACAUGGGCAGUU